This 47-nucleotide transfer RNA is filed under the name Angraecum hermannii. RNAcentral describes it as "partial tRNA-Leu". The record is from RNAcentral. Lineage: Eukaryota; Viridiplantae; Streptophyta; Magnoliopsida; Asparagales; Orchidaceae.
GAAAAUCCGUCGAAUUUUAAAUCNUGGUUCAAGUCCCUCUAUCCCCA